CCUACGGGAGGCAGCAGUGGGGAAUAUUGCACAAUGGGGGAAACCCUGAUGCAGCGAAGCCGCGUGAGCGAUGAAGUAUUUCGGUAUGUAAAGCUCUAUCAGCAGGGAAGAAAAUGACGGUACCUGACUAAGAAGCCCCGGCUAACUACGUGCCAGCAGCCGCGGGAAUACGGAGGGGGCAAGCGUUAUCCGGAUUUACUGGGUGUAAAGGGAGCGUAGACGGUCCUGCAAGCCAGAUGUGAAAGCGCGGGGCUCAACCCCGGGACUGCAUUUGGAACUGUAAGGCUAGAGUGUCGGAGAGGCAGGCGGAAUUCCUAAUGUAGCGGUGAAAUGCGUAGAUAUUAGGAGGAACACCAGUGGCGAAGGCAGCCUGCUGGACGAUGACUGACGUUGAGGCUCGAGAGCGUGGGGAGCAAACAGGAUUAGAUACCCGAGUAGUC
RNAcentral lists this ribosomal RNA (440 nucleotides) under uncultured bacterium. RNAcentral's name for it is "partial 16S ribosomal RNA". It matches the Rfam family "Bacterial small subunit ribosomal RNA", at positions 338 to 795 of the family's 1533-position model. The record is from RNAcentral.